AACACUUCAAUGAAAAAGAAUCAACGAGAAAUCAGUUAAUAU
This 42-nucleotide non-coding RNA is filed under the name Trypanosoma brucei brucei. The record is from RNAcentral. Lineage: Eukaryota; Euglenozoa; Kinetoplastea; Trypanosomatida; Trypanosomatidae.